GACCCAAUGGCACAAUAGGUAAUGCACUUGCUUUAAAUAGUUGGAUCCACAUGAAAGUUAGGCAAGAGAUCCCCGUUCAAUUCGGGGUUGGGUUG
Non-coding RNA from Mycena metata, 95 nucleotides. The record is from the annotation of a GenBank genome assembly. NCBI's taxonomy places the organism in Eukaryota, Fungi, Basidiomycota, Agaricomycetes, Agaricales, Mycenaceae.